UACAGAGGUCCCAAGCGUUGUUCGGAUUUAUUGGGCGUAAAGGGUGCGUAGGCGGCGGAGUAAGUUGGGUGUGAAAUCCCGGGGCUCAACCUCGGAAUUCAUUCAAUACUGCUUCGCUCGAGUACUGGAGAGGAGGCUGGAAUUUACGGUGUAGCAGUGAAAUGCGUAGAUAUCGUAAGGAAGGCCGGUGGCGAAAGCGAGCCUCUGGACAGUUACUGACGCUGAUGCACGAAGGCCAGGGGAGCAAACGGG
This 252-nucleotide ribosomal RNA is filed under the name uncultured bacterium. RNAcentral's name for it is "partial 16S ribosomal RNA". It matches the Rfam family "Bacterial small subunit ribosomal RNA", at positions 524 to 776 of the family's 1533-position model. The record is from RNAcentral.